Molecule: ribosomal RNA, 253 nt
Filed under: uncultured bacterium
Lineage: Bacteria
Description: partial 16S ribosomal RNA
Rfam family: Bacterial small subunit ribosomal RNA
Source: RNAcentral
UACGGGGGGAGCAAGCGUUGUUCGGAUUUACUGGGCGUAAAGGGCGCGUAGGCGGCGUAACAAGUCACUUGUGAAAUCUCGGGGCUUAACUCCGAAACUGCAUUCGAUACUACCGUGCUUGAGGACUGGAGAGGAGGCUGGAAUUUACGGUGUAGCGGUGAAAUGCGUAGAUAUCGUAAAGAAGACCAGUGGCGAAGGCGGGUCUCUGGACAGUGCCUGACGCUGAGGCACGAAGGCCAGGGGAGCAAACGGG